RNAcentral lists this ribosomal RNA (271 nucleotides) under uncultured prokaryote. RNAcentral's name for it is "partial 16S ribosomal RNA". It matches the Rfam family "Bacterial small subunit ribosomal RNA", at positions 524 to 794 of the family's 1533-position model. The record is from RNAcentral.
GACGAACCGUCCAAACGUUAUUCGGAAUUACUGGGCUUAAAGGGUGCGUAGGCGGCUCUGCAAGUUGGGUGUGAAAUCCCUCGGCUCAACCGAGGAAUGGCGCCCAAAACUGUGGAGCUCGAGGGAGACAGAGGUGAGUGGAACUUGUGGUGGAGCGGUGAAAUGCGUUGAUAUCACAAGGAACACCGGUGGCGAAAGCGGCUCACUGGGUCUCUUCUGACGCUGAGGCACGAAAGCGUGGGGAGCAAACAGGAUUAGAUACACGCGUAGU